GCACAAGCGGUGGAGCAUGUGGUUUAAUUCGAUGCAACGCGAAGAACCUUACCUGGUCUUGACAUCCACAGAACUUUCCAGAGAUGGAUUGGUGCCUUCGGGAACUGUGAGACAGGUGCUGCAUGGCUGUCGUCAGCUCGUGUUGUGAAAUGUUGGGUUAAGUCCCGCAACGAGCGCAACCCUUAUCCUUUGUUGCCAGCGGUCCGGCCGGGAACUCAAAGGAGACUGCCAGUGAUAAACUGGAGGAAGGUGGGAUGACGUCAAGUCAUCAUGGCCCUUACGACCAGGGCUACACACGUGCUACAAUGGCGCAUACAAAGAGAAGCGACCUCGCGAGAGCAAGCGGACCUCAUAAAGUGCGUCGUAGUCCGGAUUGGAGUCUGCAACUCGACUCCAUGAAGUCGGAAUCGCUAGUAAUCGUGGAUCAGAAUGCCACGGUGAAUACGUUCCCGGGCCUU
This 458-nucleotide ribosomal RNA is filed under the name uncultured Enterobacteriaceae bacterium. RNAcentral's name for it is "bacterial SSU rRNA". It matches the Rfam family "Bacterial small subunit ribosomal RNA", at positions 923 to 1382 of the family's 1533-position model. The record is from RNAcentral. Lineage: Bacteria; Pseudomonadati; Pseudomonadota; Gammaproteobacteria; Enterobacterales; Enterobacteriaceae.